RNAcentral lists this ribosomal RNA (254 nucleotides) under uncultured bacterium. Its description in RNAcentral is "partial 16S ribosomal RNA". It matches the Rfam family "Bacterial small subunit ribosomal RNA", at positions 524 to 776 of the family's 1533-position model. The record is from RNAcentral.
UACGAAGGGGGGCUAGCGUUGCUCGGAAUCACUGGGCGUAAAGCGCACGUAGGCGGAUCUUUAAGUCAGAGGUGAAAUCCCAAGGCUCAACCUUGGAACUGCCUUUGAUACUGGGGAUCUCGAGUCCGGAAGAGGUUGGUGGAACUGCGAGUGUAGAGGUGAAAUUCGUAGAUAUUCGGAAGAACACCAGUGGCGAAGGCGGCUCACUGGACCGGCAUUGACGCUGAGGUGCGAAAGCGUGGGGAGCAAACAGG